UUUCCGUAGGUGAACCUGCGGAAGGAUCAUUACCGAGUGCGGGUCCUUUGGGCCCAACCUCCCAUCCGUGUCUAUUAUACCCUGUUGCUUCGGCGGGCCCGCCGCUUGUCGGCCGCCGGGGGGGCGCCUUUGCCCCCCGGGCCCGUGCCCGCCGGAGACCCCAACACGAACACUGUCUGAAAGCGUGCAGUCUGAGUUGAUUGAAUGCAAUCAGUUAAAACUUUCAACAAUGGAUCUCUUGGUUCCG
Molecule: unclassified non-coding RNA, 247 nt
Filed under: Aspergillus sp.
Lineage: Eukaryota; Fungi; Ascomycota; Eurotiomycetes; Eurotiales; Aspergillaceae
Also listed under: 2 other names
Description: partial contains small subunit ribosomal RNA, internal transcribed spacer 1, and 5.8S ribosomal RNA
Source: RNAcentral